This 297-nucleotide ribosomal RNA is filed under the name uncultured bacterium. RNAcentral's name for it is "partial 16S ribosomal RNA". It matches the Rfam family "Bacterial small subunit ribosomal RNA", at positions 775 to 1067 of the family's 1533-position model. The record is from RNAcentral.
GGAUUAGAUACCCUGGUAGUCCACGCUGUAAACGAUGAGUACUAGCUGUUGGUUUCGGUGUAAAGGGACUAGUGGCGUAGCUAACGCGAUAAGUACUCCGCCUGGGGACUACGGCCGCAAGGCUAAAACUCAAAGGAAUUGACGGGGACCCGCACAAGCGGUGGAGCAUGUGGUUUAAUUCGAGGCAACGCGAAGAACCUUACCUGGUCUUGACAUCCACAGAACUUUGCAGAGAUGCAUAGGUGCCUUUUAGGAACUGUGAGACAGGUGCUGCACGGCUGUCGUCAGCUCGUGCCG